GAUAGUGGGCUAACCGUUGUCACGCAAUAGCAAUUUUUAUGUGUCGUGUUUGCUAUGUUUCUAAAAUAAAAAAUUAUAAUUAACUAAUUUAUCGGCUUUGUUGAUUUGUAUUAGUUUAUGAUGUGUAAGGCAAUUGUGCAGUGUAGGAUAGUGGUUGUUUAAAUUCAUAUUAUGUAUAAAGCCUACAUCUAAGUACUCACAUACGUAGCUGUAGCGGGAACCAUGCGGGUCGUCGACACAGCGGCUCAAGCGGAGCGGAUACAGGAGCGGGGCGGAGAGCGUUUAGUAGCCGCUUAACGCCUCGCGCACUCACUGCUAUGACAGCAGCCAUUGCUAAUACACAAGCACCACCGAAGACUGCCCACAGAACCUGGUACCAACAUGUCAAGUUUAGUAUCAUUAAAGAAAUGACUUUGUAUAAAUCAGAAACAAAAAUACACUUACAUAGGUCGCGAGAGAGCCUUCAUUAGCAGCCGUUGGAUCUGAAAGUAAAACCUGUUUAUAGCUACUUCAAUUAAAUUACUUUGAAUUAAA
This is a long non-coding RNA of Bombyx mori (domestic silkworm), 534 nucleotides long. RefSeq lists it as uncharacterized. The record is from RefSeq and is a predicted model, not a curated record. The transcript has 2 exons. NCBI's taxonomy places the organism in Eukaryota, Metazoa, Arthropoda, Insecta, Lepidoptera, Bombycidae.